Molecule: ribosomal RNA, 947 nt
Filed under: Parmelia martinicana
Lineage: Eukaryota; Fungi; Ascomycota; Lecanoromycetes; Lecanorales; Parmeliaceae
Description: SSU rRNA
Rfam family: Bacterial small subunit ribosomal RNA
Source: RNAcentral
AUAAUAAAGAAAGUGAAGUUUCGCUCUUAGAUGUUUGUAUCUCGUGCGUGGUAGUAGUUAGGAUUAGAAGCCUAACUAGCUAAACGCACGUAGUCGUAACUGAAAGGUUGAUCGACCACAGUGGGGCUGAAGAAAACCCAUGACGAUUGUCACAGCAGUGAGGAAUUUUGGUCAAUAGCCUGACGGCUGAACCAGCAACUUGGAGGAAUGUAUAGCAAUAGCUACUUGUAUCAUUAAUGAUGCAAGCUCGACUAUGUUGAAUAAAGUUCUAGGUAGAAUUAUGAUAAUGACAUUGUCUGCCUAUGUGUCUUGACCAAAUUACGUGCCAGCAGUCGCGGUAAUACGUAGAAGACUAGUGUUAUUCAUGUUUAAUCGGUUUAAAGGGUACCUAGACGGUGAAUCAAGCUUUUAAAUAAAUAAGAAAAGGGACUAAUUCGCUAGAGUUACUUACGAGGGGGCUUUAAAGUACUGCUGGUGUAGAGAUGAAAUUCUGUCAUACCUCUUUUCGAAAGAAGAAUAACGGCACAGGUAUAGGCGAAGGCAUCUCCUUAUGUGAUAACUGACGUUGAGGGACGAAGGCUUCGUGGAACAAACAGGAUUAGGUACCCUAGUAGUUGAAAGCAGAAAAUGAUGAAUGUCAUAGAUUAGACGUCUAAGUUUAUUCUAUAAAUGAAAGUGUAAGCAUUCCACCUCAGGAGUAAUUUGGCAACAUUGGAAUUGAAAUCAUUAGACCGUUUCUGAAACCAGUAGUGAAGUAUGUUGUUUAAUUUGAUGAUCCGCAAAAAACCUUACCACAAUUUGAAUAUUUAUAUCGAACAUAUAUUUACAAGCGUUGCACGGCUGUCUUCAGUUAAUGUCGCGAGACUCUGGUUAGUUCCAUUAAAUUAACGCAAACCCUUACUUUAUUUUUUAUAUAGAGUAGUUCCCCGCUAUAUUGGAUAUGAUAA